GGCUGGCAGCCCGUCACUUGGCAAAGGAGAGAGAAACAAGCAACAAAGAAUACUAGAGUUGAACACAAACCCACAAACCACAGCACCCACAGGUCAACCACAGAGCACCGGAGGAGGGGGAGAAAUACAACUAUUAGCCUCAAGUAGAAGAUGCAGCUUUUCCCACAGUUAGAGUAUGAGCUGAGUAAUGGGCAGCAGAGCUGUGUUUCUGACUCUGCACCUGAUGUCAGGCAUAGCAUCUCAGCAGGCCUACAAACAUCUAUAAUCAUCUGCAGAGGAAAUCCUGUUAUGUGCCAGUUUAGUCACAAGAUCACUACGAAGAGAGCUGUUAUAUAUUUGCCACUGAUGUAGAGUGUAUUCAGCAAGUCACGUCAUUGAAUUGUUUGGACAUUCAAAUGAAACAGAUCCCAAGGGAGACUCCAUGGUCAACUUCUGACAGAAAUUGUCUACAGAGUCACCCUGGAGGGUGUUGCUCUAUGCCACUGGAG
This is a long non-coding RNA of Anolis sagrei ordinatus, 488 nucleotides long. RefSeq lists it as uncharacterized. Lineage: Eukaryota; Metazoa; Chordata; Lepidosauria; Squamata; Anolidae. The record is from RefSeq and is a predicted model, not a curated record.